RNAcentral lists this ribosomal RNA (279 nucleotides) under uncultured bacterium. Its description in RNAcentral is "partial 16S ribosomal RNA". It matches the Rfam family "Bacterial small subunit ribosomal RNA", at positions 506 to 784 of the family's 1533-position model. The record is from RNAcentral.
UGCCAGCAGCCGCGGUAAUACGAAUGGGGCAAGCGUUGUUCGGAAUCACUGGGCUUAAAGCGUGCGCAGGCGGACUUACAAGUCAGGAGUGAAAUCCCAGGGCUCAACCCUGGAACUGCUCUUGAAACUGUAAGUCUAGAAUCCGGGAGAGGUGAGUAGAAUUCCUAGUGUAGAGGUGAAAUUCGCAGAUAUUAGGAGGAAUACCAGUGGCGAAGGCGACUCACUGGACCGGUAUUGACGCUCAGGCACGAAAGCGUGGGGAGCAAACAGGAUUAGAUA